UACGUAGGUGGCAAGCGUUGUUCGGAAUUACUGGGCGUAAAGGGCGCGUAGGCGGCCUUCUAAGUCGGACGUGAAAUCCCUCGGCUUAACCGAGGAACUGCGUCCGAUACUGAAAGGCUUGAAUCCGGGAGAGGGAUGUGGAAUUCCAGGUGUAGCGGUGAAAUGCGUAGAUAUCUGGAGGAACACCGGUGGCGAAGGCGGCAUCCUGGACCGGUAUUGACGCUGAGGCGCGAAAGCUAGGGGAGCAAACGGG
Molecule: ribosomal RNA, 253 nt
Filed under: uncultured bacterium
Lineage: Bacteria
Description: partial 16S ribosomal RNA
Rfam family: Bacterial small subunit ribosomal RNA
Source: RNAcentral